GACGAACGCUGGCGGCGUGCUUAACACAUGCAAGUCGAACGGAAAGGCCCUGCUUUUGUGGGGUGCUCGAGUGGCGAACGGGUGAGUAACACGUGAGUAACCUGCCCUUGACUUUGGGAUAACUUCAGGAAACUGGGGCUAAUACCGGAUAGGAGCUCCUGCGGCAUGGUGGGGGUUGGAAAGGUUCGGCGGUUGGGGAUGGACUCGCGGCUUAUCAGCUUGUUGGUGGGGUAGUGGCUUACCAAGGCUUGGACGGGUAGCCGGCCUGAGAGGGUGACCGGCCACAUUGGGACUGAGAUACGGCCCAGACUCCUACGGGAGGCAGCAGUGGGGAAUAUUGCACAAUGGGCGGAAGCCUGAUGCAGCAACGCCGCGUGCGGGAUGACGGCCUUCGGGUUGUAAACCGCUUUCGCCUGUGACGAAGCGUGAGUGACGGUAAUGGGUAAAGAAGCACCGGCUAACUACGUG
This 468-nucleotide ribosomal RNA is filed under the name uncultured bacterium. RNAcentral's name for it is "partial 16S ribosomal RNA". It matches the Rfam family "Bacterial small subunit ribosomal RNA", at positions 28 to 507 of the family's 1533-position model. The record is from RNAcentral.